CUAUGAGAGUCAAUGAUCAGUACCUCACAAAUGUCCUGCUUAAGAUCAAUGCUAAGCUUGGGGGUCUUAACUCAAUGUUAUGUGUGGAGCAUUCUCCUUCCCUUCCACAUGUUUCCAAGGCUCCCACAAUCAUUCUGGGCAUGGAUGUGUCUCAUGGGUCACCUGGCCAGUCUGAUAUUCCAUUUAUUGCUGCUGUUGUUAGCUCCCGACAUUGGCCUUUGAUCUCCCGCUAUCGAGCUUCUUAAAGAACUCAAUCUCCAAAGGUGGAGAUGGUAGAUUCCCUGUUCAAGAAAGUUUCUGACACUGAGGAUGAAGGCAUAAUGAGGGAGCUUCUCCUUGACUUCUAUAUGAGUUCUGCAAAACGUAAGCCAGAUCAGAUAAUCAUUUUCAGGUGAAUUCUUUUAAAAUUGUAUAUUUAACUUUUAGAUAUUUAUGUCAUUUUCUUUAUAAAAAAUAGGUGAACUCAUGUUUUUAUUUUGCUGUAAAAAGCUCAAACCUUAAAAUUCUAUUACUUGUUAUAUUA
Non-coding RNA from Lactuca sativa (garden lettuce), 523 nucleotides. The record is from RefSeq and is a predicted model, not a curated record. NCBI's taxonomy places the organism in Eukaryota, Viridiplantae, Streptophyta, Magnoliopsida, Asterales, Asteraceae.